GGGGUAGGAGGACAGUGAGCACCUGAAGCCCCACCAGGUUAAUAUUGACCUUCCUUGCAAUCUGUAACGUUUGUUCCCAAUGGGGUCGGUUCGGUGGCCUCAAAGGAUACUUCUGGGUUAUCAAAAGGUACUGGAAGAUUGAAGCUAAAUCCGUAGGGUGGAGACAACCAAGCUUGGGAGCAAAUAAGGAAACGAAACGCGCUGGCUCAGUCUUCACGGCGCCAAAAGCAUAACGGGGACUUUCUACAAGGGGAUUGCACAAUAUUUAUCCGUCGGUUGUGACGACCGUCUAUGUAGCAACAACCGAAUGGUUCUCGUUGGUGCAGUAAUUUGAUUUAAAGCCACAUGCUCAGACUCGGGGGGGGGGGGGGGCAUUCCUGAAAGAUCCCACAAAUUGUCAUUGGACGUGAAAGACGGCCGGAUACUCGAUCUAUUCUUUUAAAGGAAGCCGAGAGCAAAUAAAGUCAAUUCAUGUUAACGAGGAA
This is a long non-coding RNA of Spea bombifrons (plains spadefoot toad), 485 nucleotides long. RefSeq lists it as uncharacterized. The transcript is spliced from 2 exons. Lineage: Eukaryota; Metazoa; Chordata; Amphibia; Anura; Pelobatidae. The record is from RefSeq and is a predicted model, not a curated record.